Molecule: RNA transcript, 7570 nt
Organism: Manis javanica (Malayan pangolin)
Lineage: Eukaryota; Metazoa; Chordata; Mammalia; Pholidota; Manidae
Source: RefSeq, a predicted model, not a curated record
UCGGCUGUCCCAUGGGGGGGGUCUCUCAGCUUCUGUUUUUUAAUCUCACAGACAUUGUGGGGGCUGGCCUCUUCUGGGGGACACUUCCCAGCUCACAGACAAGGAGCACAGCCUCGGAGGAGGGAGGCUUUCGCGGUAGCCAGGAGCAUUUACCUGGUGUCUGCGAAGACUGCUCUCAACCCUGGGCUUCAGCGUCAGCCGUAAAAUGGGGAUGAGUAACUGCAGGGUUGUGAGGGGAUGAGGGGGAGUUGAGCCAGGCAAGAUAAGUGGUAGGCGGGUGGUGCCAUCACAGCUGAAGCCCCCACCCCCCAGCAUCCUCAUCCUGAAUGGUGCAGGCCGUGCAUCCUGGGGUGGCCGCAGACCCACCCUGGGGCUGACACUCACCCAGCCCGGCCCCAGGGAAAUGGGGACAGGCAGACGUUUCUCCAGGUCUCCAGGACCUGCUACUGGGAGGCCUGAGCUGAGGUGUUCCGCCUGACCCAUCUGGGCCGAGGGGCUGGUACAGUCAGUCCCCCUCGACUGUGAGCCAGCCUGCCACCCCACCCGAGGUAUCCUCAUUUCUUCACAACCCCGUGGCAGGCGCAGCAGCCCGUAGGUCCGGGGGACAUUGUCACCGCAGCUCAGGGGCUGUUCCACGGCAUUUUCAGUUUUCUGUCCUGGGCAGGAAUGAAACUGGUUUGAGUGGCCGUAUCCAGGUAGCCAUUGCCUCUCCGGGUGGAAGUAAGGUAGGCCGAGGGAGCUGGCUCAAAGAGCAGGCUGCCAUGCUGGCCGAGGUUGAUUUAGACGUACAGGAACACUGGGAUAGUGUAGGAAAUGGGGGAUAUUUCCCCAGGGAAAUGGGGAAGAGCAGAAGGAGGAGCUAAAUGCCCCAAUAACUAUAAAGCCUGGUGUGGUGAUUUAUGGCAGAUGGGCACACCCUCCUGUUGUCUCUCCGUGUGUCCAGGGAUCUUCUGCGGGUGUGGGGCCAGUGAGGCUGGUGGGUGCUGCCUAGUGCGUAAGCUCUGCUUUGUCUCCUGGGGACUGAACCCCUCCGUGUGCUGGGCCCUAAUGUCUGUUAUCUAAGGCAACUUUGUGGAGUCCCGACCAGGUGCCCACCGGGAAGUUGAGAUCUGGGAGGCUGAGCCCCUUGCAGAUCCAAACAGAAGAGCCUGAGCCAGACUGGCUGGCAUCCUAAACCCCCUGGCCCUCCCCUGUGCCCUCAGCUGCAUUUGGGGCCUCUGGCAGGCAGGACCCAGGAGGUGGCCCAUUAGAACGAUGAUGAACAGAGUUGGGUGGCAGCUGACCCUGCUGGUGCCCAUGAGAGGGGAAGCAGCGGAGGCCACAGAGUUGGGCAAGAAGCAGGAAGGCACAUUUCUCUGCCUUGGGAUCUGGGCAUGCUCUGUAGCUCGGUGUGAAUACACCUUCCACAGGUUGGCAGAGCACAGGGGAGGCCGCCGCCAUUCCAGGCAGGCUGCCUGCUUGGUGUACCAAUUUGGCCUGACCUUGGGCCGCCCCCGCUGGGGACUUUCCUCUGCUAUGACCACACCUAUUCCCCUUCCUCCCCCCUUUACUUGUGGGGUCAUCCCUGCAGCCACUGACCUACAGGGUCAUCCCUGACUCCCCUCCCUGCCACAUCCAGAUCAUUCCCCAGUCCCGCCCCCUUUCAGCCUGGCCCCCACAUCACUUCUCCCCCGCCUCCACAUUGCCAUAUCUUGCCCAACCAGGGACAUGUGAUCACGCUGCAGACCUCUGCCCCAAUUCCUACCCUGCAGGGCUACCAUCCAGCUCCUGGCUGAUGCCCGGUCUCCCAUCUGUGAUAGACUCAGGAGGCUUGCGUUGCCCGCAACCCAUGGCACCAUCCCCCAUCUCUCCAGGCUGUUGCACAACAUCACCUCCUCCUGGAAGCCCUCCCUACUGCCCACCUGCCCACUGCCCUGCAGGACUGUGACCCAAGCUUGGAUGAUCGGUUCGUGCCCGUGUCUGCUGAGGAAAACUGAGUGCCUCCGGAAGGACAGGCCAGAAUCACCAGCCUGGCACUGGGCAGGCUCUUGGGGAACGUUUCAUGAAUGAACGAAACAGAAUCCAGAGACUGAAAUGGAAGAAGAGGGGGCCAUGGACCAACCAUGCGUAGUGCUGUGGCCCAGCCACCAAGCCUGCCACAUCUCCUGGGGAGUUGGGAUGCUCAGAGAAAUAAAUGGACAGGAGUUAAUUUUUCUACCUCCACUAGGUAUGCUCCCUUUUAGGACUAAUCUGAGGGGCUCUGAGACCACGCCUCAUCACAAGCCGUGUGGCAGUGCCCGAUGGAGAGGCCCACAGAGGGACAACGUCCAGGUAACACCAGCCACUGCCCUGGGGGUUUCAGUCAGGAAGACCAGCUGUUACAGGUGUAUGGACGUCUGGGGCCAUUGCUCUCAAUCACUAGGUGGGAAACGCAGGCAUCUGUUGGCCCAUCAGAUGUCAUCAGUGGGUGACAGCACAUUCUGCUAAUUUAGCUCAGAUGUCACUGCUUCCGGGGGUCCCCGUCCAGGUGGUCCUCAAAACCACAAGGUCCCUCGCCUCCCCUCCUCCAGCAGUGGCAGGUCAGCCUGGGGCCUGCUCAGGCCCUCCGUCCCACCUGCCAGUCCCCUCUGCUGAUGGCCUGCUGUGUGACCUUGGGCCAGUCACUCCCCUGCUCUGAGUCUCAGUUUCUCCAUCUGCCCCACAGUCUCUUUGACCUCUACCUCUGACAUUUGCUGGGCUCUGGAACGUUCUGAGGGGCCAGGUUUGGAGUGGCUGUCUUGGGCAUGUGGCAGAUCUCCUGGGCUUUGAGCCGGAACCCCGCUUCUGGAGGUCUCCCUUGGGGAAGGGCGGAAGAUUUGUGCAUGGAGCUGUUCGUCCUAAUGCCCCUUACAAAUGGGAGAACCUGGGAGCAGCCAGCCAUUCCCCUGGGUUCGGUGUUUGGGUUACAUAGUCAUGAUGAAGCUACCUGAUGGGACAUUAUGUGGCCAUUUGGAAUGACACUGCAGGGUUUAUAAUCAUGUGGGCAGCGCUUCCAGGAAAGGUCAGGGCAGCUCCGUGGAUGCGUGUGAGCCCUUCCCGGAGGGCAUCUGCUGUGCUCGGGGCUGGGCAGGGGCGGAUCCAAAGUGCUGGCUGCUUCCUUCUUUCACUUUCCCGGAUCUUGUUGAUGACGGUCUGUUCCUUUUGCAAUGGGGAAAAAAAGUCGCUUUAGUUACAAAACUAACAACCUGGGCAGGAUGCACCCAUUAUCAUGUUCUCCCCCGAAAAGAGACAUUUGUUUACCAAAAGUGUAUGAGGUCAUGGGGGCAGGGGCGGCCAGCAUUGCCCAGGGCGCGUCGUGGCAUUUAAAAGGAGCAGAGGUGACUUGGGGGGCAGUGCUCUGAGGCUGGGUAGCACAUGGAGGCUCCUUGUGGCCGGUGACAGUGGCGGUACUGUGGCUUUGGGGCAGACCCGUCUUCAAGUUUCCAUUUGAGUUAGAAUGUUCUGAGUCCGACACCUGGAAGUGACAUCUGUGGAUGAAGCAGGAGUCCUUGUGGUUGUGGGGCCGGAACGGGGAACCGCUGCUCCGCAUCGCCUGUGACGGUCCCCGACUCAGUGGCGCUCAGGCGAGUGUGUGACCCUGCACCCGCCGAUGGCUUGCAUCUCCGGAGCCCGCGUGGUAACGAGUGUGGUGUUGGCCCCGGCCUUGCGUGAGCACCUACUGUGUAUGCCAGCCGAGCCAACCGGAUUUUCAAUCAUUCAUUUUCCCUGAUGUCAGCUUUGUAUGAAUGUGGCUCAUCCCAGAGCACCCCUGGGACAGCGGGACCCCUUGUGGCCUUUGGAAGACACUCUAGGACCGCACGGCCCAGGUCUCACCACUUCUCCCGGCCUCCUCAUCCCCAGGUGACGCCUAAAGCUCACGUCACCCUCAGGUCGAGAAGUGACACUGAAACGAAAACUCCUGUCCACUGCAGACCUUCCUCUGUUGUCCUCAGAAGGUUCUCUCUGGUCUCCCCCAUUAGACUGGACAUGGCCUGAGGAGGCGAGGAUAGAAGAGGCGCACGCAGCCCCAUCUCUCUCUGCUCUGUGAGGACUCACUGUCCCCAGGGCUCAAAGUCAGGUGCACCUGCACCCCCUGGGCUCACCCUGCCUUGAGGGCCCCCUCUAGGACUGGGAGUCCCUGACGUGGGCCCCUUUUUUCCGCCUGGCUGUGAACCAGCCCUUGAGUGCAAUCCUAAUAUGCCCAGGCCACCUGCCGUCCACCCGAGAUGCCACGCAGGUGAGUAUCCUGGAACCCAAAGGCCAAAUGAGGGAAACUGAGUCACGUCUGCUUCUCCCAGACUGGGCUGGGGACCGGGGAUGGGGUUCAUGGCACAGGCUGUGUGUCUCCUCUUUUCCUGCCUGUCUCCCUGCCCUUCCCACCCCGUGGAGCCCAGCCUGUGGCUGGUCUGUUAUGCAAUCAGUGCCCCCCAACUGGUGCUGGGCCCUAUUGGGUCAGCACUGCCGGCUCUGGAGCUAAACCCUGGCCCCUGGGUGGGGGCAGGGGAGGGGGGCGCAGGCCACAGGGCAGGGUCUGUCUCGUCCCUGCAGUGGCACAGGUGUGGAUUCUGGCUCUGAUGCUGAAUAACGGUGGUCUGCCUGCUGCUCAGAUCCCCUGAGGGGCGGCUGGGCCUUUACCCCACAUUGUAGUGAGGAGAUCAGGGCCUGUGAGGGCAUAAGAUGUACCCAGGGAAGCACAGCAGGGGGGUUCCCGGGCAUCUCCACCGACUAGGCUGCCCCGCCCCUGCCGCCCUCAGCCUGCUAGGGCCUGUGCUUGGAGCCGUGUGGUCCAUGUGGCCUAAGGGGGCUGAGUCUGUGAGCCCGGAGCACACGCUCAGGGCGCCUCCCUCAGGGUGCCCCUGAGAUGUUCAGGGGCAGCCCUGGGCUGGGAGCCUGGUUCUUGGCUGCCCCUGUCCCCAGCGAUGAGGCUCAUAAGGGCCGGUCACCCCGCAGGACAGCUGGGCAGGCCCUUGACAGCCAGCCAGAAUCUUUUUGCCUGGCUCACUCACCAUGGCAGGGGUCGGGGGUCAGAGGAAGACCCUCGGCCGCUCUCCUCUCAACCCCUGCCCCAGAGGUUGGCUGACUCUCCCUGGCAUAUCCUUGAGGACACCCCAGUCCUGUCUACCAGCUAGCCAGUCCGGGGGGAAGCCACAGGACCCUGAGACCCUCUCAUGUAAUAUUUUAUUCUGGGCCCUCAAAGGGACAUGGGCCAGCCAGGUCCUGGGUAGCGGCCAGGCACUCUUGUCCCCACCCCCAGGUGGCUGCAUCUCAGGCUUCCCCUCAGUGGACAGCGCUGGGCCUUGGCCCUGAGCCUCUUUCAUUGCUGGAUGAGGGUCCUGGGACUUAAGCCAUGACCUCCAGUGGGGAAAAAGGCAAUUGCCCUGCACAAGGCGCCAUCAGUACAGCCCCUGCACCCAGGGGCUGUUCCGGAAGCUGCAGCUGCCCCACUUCUUGGGACUGGGCAUGAGCCGCCCCCUCAACCUUGUAGCAGGGGCAAGGCCCAGCCUGGGAAAGCCCAAGAACAAGACCCCCGCCCAGCCUGGGGCCAGGGACCCAUCCAUCUGGGCCUCAGCAUCCUCACUGCUAAAUGGGGUUGGUCAUCCCAGCUUCCCUGGACCUGUGACGACCCAGUGGUACAGCCCAGCCUCGUGCCUGCCUGGAGAGGACAGUCUGUUGGGAAGGGGCGUGGAGGGAGGUUUAGGGCACUGAAGAGACAGAGCUCUCCUACCACUUUACUACCACUUUUCUGAUCUCCUGAAGUCUUCGGUGUUAACCUCUGCUUCCAUCUGCUCACCUGCUAGGUAGGUAGCUGCACCGGUGUUUCCUCUGUGCCCAGGCAGGUGGAGGCCGUGCUGGAGGCUGUGGCUGAUGUUUACAAGACUGGCUGCCAUUGGGCACUGGUGCAGAGCCCUUGAAAGGCGUGAUCCGCCCCAGGGAGGGACACUGGGGCCUGUGUGUUUCCCUCGAGGGUCUGCAGUGCUGGCCCGGCCACCCUCCCCAGGUUGCCUUUUGGGAGGAAAGAAUAGCCUUCUCUGGCCUGCCCCAUAGUGGGGACAGCUCAGGGCACCCUGAGCGGCAGGACCAACCAGAGCCCGUGGGAGGCGAUCCCCGCUGACCCAGUGGCCCCUCAGGCUGGCCCCGGGCCCAGCAGUCCCUGAGGCUCUCCUGCUGGACCGAGGGUGGGCGGCCGGGUGUACACUCCCCGCACUUGUUUAACACAUGCUGGCCCCCAACAAAUGACAGCCUCCCUCCCAGUGCCACCGCGCAAAAGGUACUUGGGGACAUGGCCACUGCUGUCCAGAUGGGGGAGACCCAGCCACUGUCCAGUUUCCCCCAAGCCACACUACCCUUCCCUCCCCUUCCUUCUCCAGCAGCUGGCGUCUCCUGUGGGGCUGGCUCCUCUCUGCCUUGGGCAUGUGGGCACUGACCCAGGCCCUCCGCUGACCCGCCAGCCAGAAUCCCAGUGGCCUUAGCAGCCGGCUAGCCCGGCUCUCAGCCCUGUGCCCCGGAGUCCCCCAACCCCAGAAGGAGGAAGCCAUGAAGCCCGUUUCGGCGCCCAGACUGACGGCCCUUUGGGGUGAGGUAGUAGGUUGUAUAGUUUGGGGCUCUGCCCUGCUAUGGGGUAACUAUACAAUCUACUGUCUUUCCUGAAGUGGCUGUAAUACCGACGGUGGACGGCACAUAGGACCCGUUGGGAAGGGGCGGGGGGCAGGUUGGGGUGGGGAGCAGCCUCGGCAGCGUGGGGGUCACUGGCCGCUAUGCUGAGCUAGUUUCCAUGUGCUGUGUGACCUUGGGCAGGUCCCUUGACCUCUCUGGGCUCCAGUUCCCUCAUCUGUGAAAAGCAGGUGGGUGAGAAUUGACGGAGAUAGCUGCGUGUCGUGCCCAGGGCAGGGAGGGCCUCAGACUUGGCCUGCCCUCUCCCCCCACUGUGCUGACAGCCGGCGCACCCACCGGGCGGUUUGUGCAGCCUGCCCCCUGCCCACCCAUCCUGUGCAUCAGGCCCACGAGCCGGCCUGUCCGGACUCUCCUCCACCACAUUCCCAUGGCUGGCACUGGGCACCAGGACGAAGAGCCUUGGGCCCGAGGAGGACGGGGCAGCUGAGAUGGCAGGGAGGCCCAUGGCUCCCCCCGGCCUGCCCAGCCCGGGACGGGGCGGGGGCGGCACGGUCCUCCAUGCCCGCCGUGCCUGAGCAGGAAGCAAGGAGCGCUCCUGACACCUGCACCCCUUGAGGGCACACGCCCGUCCCACCUCCCAGUAACCACGGGUAGAGGGUGUGGGCUGCACUGUGUGGGAAACCGAGGCACCGCCCGCUUGUCCCUCCUGCCCUGCACCUGCCCUGCACCUGCCCAGCCCUCCAGCUCGGCUCUGGUGGCCAAGGACCACCAGGCAGGGGCCGGGCUGGGCGUGGGGCAGUGGCGGGUGCGGACCCUCCCGCUCCUGGGGCGCCGGCGGGGUGAGGUAGUAGGUUGUGUGGUUUCAGGGCAGUGAUGUUGCCCCCUCAGAAGAUAACUAUACAACCUACUGCCUUCCCUGAGGGGCCCAGCGGCACGCUGGGAGGGCCGCCCCAUCGCCACU